RNAcentral lists this ribosomal RNA (91 nucleotides) under Hygromia limbata. Its description in RNAcentral is "partial 5.8S ribosomal RNA". It matches the Rfam family "5.8S ribosomal RNA", at positions 1 to 91 of the family's 154-position model. Rfam says of the family: 5.8S ribosomal RNA (5.8S rRNA) is a component of the large subunit of the eukaryotic ribosome. It is transcribed by RNA polymerase I as part of the 45S precursor that also contains 18S and 28S rRNA. Functionally, it is thought that 5.8S rRNA may be involved in ribosome translocation. Lineage: Eukaryota; Metazoa; Mollusca; Gastropoda; Stylommatophora; Hygromiidae. RNAcentral also lists the same sequence under 16 other names. The record is from RNAcentral.
UAACUUUGAGCGGUGGAUCACUCGGCUCGUGCGUCGAUGAAGAGCGCAGCCAGCUGCGUGAAUUAAUGUGAAUUGCAGAACACAUUGAACA